RNAcentral lists this ribosomal RNA (458 nucleotides) under uncultured bacterium. Its description in RNAcentral is "partial 16S ribosomal RNA". It matches the Rfam family "Bacterial small subunit ribosomal RNA", at positions 338 to 795 of the family's 1533-position model. The record is from RNAcentral.
CCUACGGGUGGCAGCAGUGAGGAAUAUUGGUCAAUGGGAGAGAUCCUGAACCAGCCAAGCCGCGUGAGUGAAGACGGCCCUAUGGGUUGUAAACCUCUUUUGUCGGAGAACAAAACCCGGGACGUGUCCCGGACUGCGUGUAUCCGAAGAAACAGCAUCGGCUAACUCCGUGCCAGCGGCCGCGGUAAUACGGAGGAUGCGAGCGUUAUCCGGAUUUCUUGGGUUUAAGGGGUGCGUAGGCGGUCCGUUAAGUCAGCGGGAAAAUUGCGGGGCACAACCCUGUCGACCGUUGAAACUGGCAGACUUGAGUGGGCGAGAAGUACGCGGAAUGCGCGGUGUAGCGGUGAAAUGCAUAGAUAUCGCGCAGAACUCCGAUUGCGAAGGCAGCGUACCGGCGCCAGACUGACGCUGAGGCACGAAAGCGUGGGGAUCGAACAGGAUUAGAUACCCUUGUAGUC